RNAcentral lists this ribosomal RNA (465 nucleotides) under Vreelandella stevensii. Its description in RNAcentral is "partial 16S ribosomal RNA". It matches the Rfam family "Bacterial small subunit ribosomal RNA", at positions 338 to 795 of the family's 1533-position model. The record is from RNAcentral. Lineage: Bacteria; Pseudomonadati; Pseudomonadota; Gammaproteobacteria; Oceanospirillales; Halomonadaceae.
CCUACGGGUGGCAGCAGUGGGGAAUAUUGGACAAUGGGCGAAAGCCUGAUCCAGCCAUGCCGCGUGUGUGAAGAAGGCCUUCGGGUUGUAAAGCACUUUCAGUGGGGAAGAAAGCCUUGGGGCUAAUACCCUCGAGGAAGGACAUCACCCACAGAAGAAGCACCGGCUAACUCCGUGCCAGCAGCCGCGGUAAUACGGAGGGUGCGAGCGUUAAUCGGAAUUACUGGGCGUAAAGCGCGCGUAGGCGGUCUGAUAAGCCGGUUGUGAAAGCCCCGGGCUCAACCUGGGAACGGCAUCCGGAACUGUCAGGCUAGAGUGCAGGAGAGGAAGGUAGAAUUCCCGGUGUAGCGGUGAAAUGCGUAGAGAUCGGGAGGAAUACCAGUGGCGAAGGCGGCCUUCUGGACUGACACUGACGCUGAGGUGCGAAAGCGUGGGUAGCAAACAGUAUUAGAUACCCCUGUAGUC